This 396-nucleotide transfer-messenger RNA is filed under the name Tannerella sp. It matches the Rfam family "transfer-messenger RNA". Rfam says of the family: Bacterial tmRNA, also known as 10Sa RNA or SsrA, is named for its dual tRNA and mRNA-like properties. Its role is to liberate the mRNA from a stalled ribosome. The record is from RNAcentral. Lineage: Bacteria; Pseudomonadati; Bacteroidota; Bacteroidia; Bacteroidales; Tannerellaceae.
GGGGCUGACCGGUUUUGACAGCGGGUAGAAGUGGUUUGUAAGCAUGCAGUGCGUCGUUGGCUGGCACUAUAAUCUUGGCUGAUAAACAAUUAACUGGCGAAAAUACUUACGCUCUCGCUGCGUGAUUGAAGAAUAGUAAAUCACCCUUUAUCCCUGCUCAAGGAGUAGGGACGAGACGUCACCCGAUACUUUUUCUCCGAAGUGAAUCGAAACGGUGGCGCAGCAUAUCGGAGAUAGUCGGAUGUAGUCUUCGGAUGUCCGAUGAAAAUUAAGAAGAUAAGGUUGCGGUAGGUAGCUUCGGUCUUGCCACAUCACGAAAAUUAAGCGAAGAUAAGCAUGUAGAAAGCAGAUUAGUUCCUCGUUUGGACGAGAGUUCGAAUCUCUCCAGCUCCACCA